UCUAUUUGUGUGUUCAGUUGAAAAUCCUUUGGCAAUCUCCAUAACUUCUUUAGCUAUAUGAGUUAACCUUUGCUUUUGUCAAUUCUCUGUUUACUCCUAUAUUUUCCAGCUUUUAAGAAGUAUCUUUUCCUGCUGAUUAAUGUUUGUUGGACAGUUGUUUGUUUUUUUAAUUCUUGCAGUUCUUGUUAUUUCUGUUAUUAGUUCUUCUCCCUUCUAAGGUCUUCUCAGUAACCACUUUUCAUCCUAAGAGGUCUGGAGCCAUUUCUUACUGGGUUAUUUUUCCUUCACUGGGGAAACAGGGUUCAAAUCAACUUUUCAACACUGACAGGAUUAAAUUUAGAUUUCUGCUCAGGGCCAUCUCCAGCAUCCAUCUCCCCUUCUACUCUGGCUACGAAGAGACACACUGUCUUACAAAAACAAGUGAAUCCCUUACACUACAGCAAUGAUGGCCCAUCUGCUGGGAGAAAUAUGCUGAUAUAAACAGAAUUACCUACAAAGGAAACUGGAACCUCCACGGCAUCUCUCUGUCAUCCUUCUCUCCAGAUGGUGCCUCUAAAUCCCUUCUGA
Molecule: long non-coding RNA, 567 nt
Filed under: Parus major (Great Tit)
Lineage: Eukaryota; Metazoa; Chordata; Aves; Passeriformes; Paridae
Description: lncRNA (ENSPMJG00000019279.1)
Source: RNAcentral